RNAcentral lists this ribosomal RNA (492 nucleotides) under uncultured bacterium. Its description in RNAcentral is "partial 16S ribosomal RNA". It matches the Rfam family "Bacterial small subunit ribosomal RNA", at positions 29 to 507 of the family's 1533-position model. The record is from RNAcentral.
AGUGAACGCUGGCGGUAGGCCUAACACAUGCAAGUCGAACGGCAGCACAGUAAGAGCUUGCUCUUACGGGUGGCGAGUGGCGGACGGGUGAGGAAUACAUCGGAAUCUACUUUUUCGUGGGGGAUAACGUAGGGAAACUUACGCUAAUACCGCAUACGACCUACGGGUGAAAGCAGGGGAUCUUCGGACCUUGCGCGAUUGAAUGAGCCGAUGUCGGAUUAGCUAGUUGGCGGGGUAAAGGCCCACCAAGGCGACGAUCCGUAGCUGGUCUGAGAGGAUGAUCAGCCACACUGGAACUGAGACACGGUCCAGACUCCUACGGGAGGCAGCAGUGGGGAAUAUUGGACAAUGGGCGCAAGCCUGAUCCAGCCAUACCGCGUGGGUGAAGAAGGUCUUCGGGUUGUAAAGCCCUUUUGUUGGGAAAGAAAAGCAGCAGGUUGAUACCCCGCUGUUCUGACGGUACCCAAAGAAUAAGCACCGGCUAACUUCGUG